This 433-nucleotide ribosomal RNA is filed under the name uncultured bacterium. RNAcentral describes it as "partial 16S ribosomal RNA". It matches the Rfam family "Bacterial small subunit ribosomal RNA", at positions 29 to 507 of the family's 1533-position model. The record is from RNAcentral.
AACGAACGCUGGCGGCAUGCCUAACACAUGCAAGUCGAACGAGACCUUCGGGUCUAGUGGCGCACGGGUGCGUAACGCGUGGGAACCUUCCCUUAGGUUCGGAAUAACUCUCCGAAAGGGGUGCUAAUACCGGAUAAUGUCUUCGGACCAAAGAUUUAUCGCCUUUGGAUGGGCCCGCGUUGGAUUAGCUAGUUGGUAGGGUAAAAGCCUACCAAGGCGACGAUCCAUAGCUGGUCUGAGAGGAUGAUCAGCCACACUGGGACUGAGACACGGCCCAGACUCCUACGGGAGGCAGCAGUGGGGAAUAUUGGACAAUGGGCGAAAGCCUGAUCCAGCAAUGCCGCGUGAGUGAUGAAGGCCUUAGGGUUGUAAAGCUCUUUUACCCGGGAUGAUAAUGACAGUACCGGGAGAAUAAGCUCCGGCUAACUCCGUG